RNAcentral lists this ribosomal RNA (253 nucleotides) under uncultured bacterium. RNAcentral's name for it is "partial 16S ribosomal RNA". It matches the Rfam family "Bacterial small subunit ribosomal RNA", at positions 524 to 776 of the family's 1533-position model. The record is from RNAcentral.
UACGUAGGCAGCAAGCGUUGUUCGGAGUUACUGGGCGUAAAGGGUGCGUAGGCGGCUCUAUAAGUAUGGUGUGAAAUCUCCCGACUUAACUGGGAGGGUGCGCCGUAGACUGUGGGGCUAGAGUGUGGGAGAGGAAAGUGGAAUUCCUGGUGUAGCGGUGAAAUGCGUAGAUAUCAGGAGGAACACCGGUGGUGUAAACGGCUUUCUGGACCAUAACUGACGCUGAGACACGAAAGCCAGGGGAGCAAACGGG